RNAcentral lists this ribosomal RNA (520 nucleotides) under uncultured Glomus. Its description in RNAcentral is "SSU rRNA". It matches the Rfam family "Eukaryotic small subunit ribosomal RNA", at positions 569 to 1091 of the family's 1831-position model. The record is from RNAcentral. Lineage: Eukaryota; Fungi; Glomeromycota; Glomeromycetes; Glomerales; Glomeraceae.
CGCAGCCGCAGUAAUUCCAGCUCCAAUAGCGUAUAUUAAAGUUGUUGCAGUUAAAAAGCUCGUAGUUGAAUUUCGGGGUUAGUAAGUUGGUCAUGCCUUCGGUAUGUACUGGCUUUACUGAUUCCUCCUUCUUGACGAACCGUGAUGUCAUUAAUUUGGUGUUGCGGGAAAUCAGGACUGUUACUUUGAAAAAAUUAGAGUGUUUAAAGCAGGCUAACGCUUGAAUACAUUAGCAUGGAAUAAUGAAAUAGGACGUUAAUCCUAUUUUGUUGGUUUUCUAGGAUCGACGUAAUGAUUAAUAGGGAUAGUUGGGGGCAUUAGUAUUCAAUUGUCAGAGGUGAAAUUCUUGGAUUUAUUGAAGACUAACUACUGCGAAAGCAUUUGCCAAGGAUGUUUCAUUAAUCAAGAACGAAAGUAGGGGUAUCGAAGACGAUCAGAUACCGUCGUAGUCUUAACCAUAAACUAUGCCGACUAGGGAUCGGAUGAUGUUAUUUUUUAAUGUACUCAUUCGGCGCCUUAC